RNAcentral lists this transfer RNA (66 nucleotides) under Hyphasis sp. REN-2018. Its description in RNAcentral is "tRNA-Arg". Lineage: Eukaryota; Metazoa; Arthropoda; Insecta; Coleoptera; Chrysomelidae. The record is from RNAcentral.
AAAUAAGAAGCAAAAAAAAAUGCAUUUAAUUUCGACUUAAAAAUCUGAUCAAAAGAUCCUUAUUUA